CUUUGAGCUUAUCAACUCUCUCUCUCUCUAAAACUCACUUUCUCUCUCUCAAAUUCAGACAUCUCACUGAGCUUAUCAAUUCUCAAAUCCGGAGCUUCAAUAUCGUCCAUGAAAUCGUCGUUCACUUUGCCGUUCAAUAUCGUCACCAUCAAUAUGCAUUGUUAAACCCCCAUUUCAUCACUAUCUUCUCCUUCUUCCACUCACACACACAAUCCAAUGGCGGAACCGUCCUAUACACCAGUCGUCCUAAGCAAUCUGGUCAGCAAUCUUGGAGGCCGAGUCUCUGUGCCAUUGCUUAGGCCGAGUCUCUGCGUUACAAGCUAUUUGGAGGCCUUACUGUUCGCAAGCCUUGCUAUGGUGUUUUGAUCCCUAAACCGUUUAGGUCAGCAAUCUUCAUCAACUAAACUCGGCUGACAUAGAGCAACUCAAUUGAGCAAGAAGCGAAAGUUUGUAGUUGAUGGUGUGUUCUUUGCUGAGCUGAAUGAGGUCCUCACCAGGGAACUUGCAGAGGGUGGUUAUUCUGGUGUUGAAGUUAGGUGAGAAGGGAAGGAGAAUAAGGGAGCUGACAUCACAGGUUCAGAAGCGUUUUAAGUUCGCUGAAAACAGUGUGGAGCUUUAUGAUGAAAGGGUUAACAACAGAGGUCUAUUAAUUGAGCAAGAAGCGAAAGGUGAGAAGGGAAGGAGAAUAAGGGAGCUGACAUCACAGGUUCAGAAGCGUUUUAAGUUCACUGAAAACAGUGUGGAGCUUUAUGAUGAAAGGGUUAACAACAGAGGUCUCUGUGCCAUUGCUUAUGCCGAGUCUUUGCGUUACAAGCUGAUAAAGAGAAACGAUCAUACAGCUGACAAAUAUGUGUAAACGGUUAUAACUUGAUAUAUAAACUUGUGCUGAUAGCCUCAGGAAAAAAUUUAUACAAAUUGGAAGCUUUUGGUUAAAUUGUUAUUGUUACUAUUUAUAUAUAUGUAGGUUGUCAUGAAUAAGUUGGAAGAUGCACAUGAACUGAUCGAUACUGCGAUUUCAACUGCUCUGAAAGAGAGCAAACCUGUUUAUAUCAGCAUCGACUGUAGUUUGUCUUCAAUCCCUCAUCCUACUUUCGCUCGAGAACCGGUUCCAUUUUCUCUAGCCCCCAAGUAUGAUCUACAAACAUCCUGCAGAGUUUUUAACACCAAUCUAUAUGCAAUAGUAGUGCUUUGUUUCCUUAUGCUUUGAACUUGUAGGCUUUGUUGUUUUGAUUGUGUAGGAUGAGUAAUAAUAUGGGUUUGGAAGCAACUGUUGAGGCGGCAGCAGAGUUCUUGAACAAGGCAGUAAAGCCUUCUGAAGUAAGCUUUUUAUUUUUCUAUCAGCUUUUAUCGGUAUGAACUUACUUGGAGUGUCCGUGAACUAGAAAAUGUGCCAAAGGGCUCAAAGGUAACCGACACUUUUAGUUUGGAGGGGAACAUCUUUAAUCCACUUUCAUGUUUUAAUUAACUUUUUUUUGCAUAUACUAUCUGCAUUCUUUGUACUGUAUUACCAAGCAUACAUGCGUAUGAAACUGUUGACUAAUUCCGUUACUUUUUAUUAACAUAAGGGGGAGCAUUUCAUUCAAACUAAGGAAACACUCUAGCUAGGAUCAAUACCUUACUAUAACAUGUACACCAACCUGAGACCAAUGUUCUAUUAUAAGGUCUUAUCUGAUGAAGAGAAACGAUCAUUAUAUGAUCGUUAUGGCGAGGCUGGGGUACGAGGGGAAUAUGAUGGAUCAGGUGCUGGUUCUCAGGAGGUGGACACAUUUGAUGUGUUUCGUUCCUUUUUGAGGAUUCAAAUGGAUAUGAAGAAGAGUGAUGGGGCAGAAGAAAAGUUCAAAGAAAUAAGUGCUGCAUAUGAGGACUGUAUUUUGUACGUUUUAGAAGACUUGAAUUGCAUGUACCUGUCUUCUUUCAUGCUAGAAUCGCAUCAGACGUUGCAGAACAAGCAAGAUUGAUGGCUGACGAAGUUUUUUUUUUUUUUUUAAUAAAAAAGAUUAGGUUUAAACACUGUUAGGUUAAAAUAGUGUUUUAACCCGAGAAAAAGUGAAACCACUAUUUUGGGUUAAAACAGUGUUUUGAAACCACUUUUGGGUUAAAACAGUGUUUGAAACCACUGUUGGGUUAAAACAGUGUUUUGAAACCACUUUUGGGUCAAAACAGUGUUUGAACCCACUGUUGGUUAAAACAGUGUUUUGAAACCACUGUUGGGGUAAAACAGUGUUUUAGUUAAUUUUUGUAUUAUUUGGUAGAUCUUUGAAAUAUGAUAUUUGUUUUGUGUAGAUGUAGGUUGUGGGGCCUCAAGCGACGAUCAUAAUACUGGUGAAUCUGAAAGAUACAGAAGAACAGAUGGCAAGAGAUGGCGGUGCAAAAAAGACGUGCUUCCUGAUCAGAUGUAUUGCGAACGGCAUGUACACGGAGGGCGCAUAUGUUCAAGAAAGCCUGUGGAAGUUGAUAAAACCUUUUUAAAGUGGAGAUGAAAACAUAUGUUUCAACAACCUUCACCUGCCCAAAAGAGUAGAGAUGAAGACAUAUGUUUCAUAACACUCUGUUGAUGAUUUGGGUUCUAUUUUGUAGCUGUUAUAUUAUAUUAUAUUAUAAAGGGAUUACAUGUGCA
Molecule: RNA transcript, 2617 nt
Organism: Helianthus annuus (common sunflower)
Lineage: Eukaryota; Viridiplantae; Streptophyta; Magnoliopsida; Asterales; Asteraceae
Gene name: chaperone protein DnaJ-like
Exons: 9
Source: RefSeq, a predicted model, not a curated record